Molecule: long non-coding RNA, 460 nt
Organism: Oncorhynchus tshawytscha (Chinook salmon)
Lineage: Eukaryota; Metazoa; Chordata; Actinopteri; Salmoniformes; Salmonidae
Source: Ensembl
UCUGAGAGAAUGGGAUAAAUAAGCAACAUGGUGGUAGGUCAACCCUGCCCUCUGAUAGGCCAGGAGUUUUCACCAUAUUGCUUUCCUCUCUAUCCAGGGACCAUAUGUAUUUUUGGGUCGGCAGGUGGCCUAGUGGUUAGUGCAUUGGGCCAGUAACCGAAAGGUUAUAUGACAUGGAUGGUGGAGAUGUCAGGAGGGGUCUGAUAAGAUGACAUGGACAGGGUGGAGUCAGGGGGGGUCUGAUAAGAUGACAUGGUCAGGGUGGAGUCAGGGGGGUCUGAUAGAUGACAUGGACAGGGUGGAGUCAGCGGAGGUCUGAUAAAAUGACAUGGAUGGUGGAUCAGGGGGGGGUCUGAUAAGAUGACAUGGACAGGGUCAGGUCAGGAGGGGUCUGAUAAGAUGACAUGGAUGGUGGAGUCAGGGGGUCUGAUAAGAUGACAUGGACAGGGUGGGGUCAGGG